AACCUCCGCAAUGUGAGAAAUCGCGACGGGGGGAUCCCAAGUGCCAUUCUUAACGGGAUGGCUUUUCAUUAGUGUAAAGAGCUUUUGGAAUAAGAGCUGGGCAAGACCGGUGCCAGCCGCCGCGGUAACACCGGCAGCUCUAGUGGUAACAAUUUUUAUUGGGCCUAAAGCGCCCGUAGCCGGUUUAAUAAGUCUCUGGUGAAAUCCUGUAGCUUAACUGUGGGAAUUGCUGGAGAUACUAUUAGACUUGAGACCGGGAGAGGUUAGAGGUACUCCCAGGGUAGAGGUGAAAUUCUGUAAUCCUGGGAGGACCGCCUGUUGCGAAGGCGUCUAACUGGAACGGUUCUGACGGUGAGGGACGAAAGUUAGGGGCGCGAACCGGAUUAGAUACCCGGGUAGUCCUAACUGUAAACGAUGUGGACUUGGUGUUGGGGUGGCUUUGAGCUGCUCCAGUGCCGAAGGGAAGCUGUUAAGUCCGCCGCCUGGGAAGUACGGUCGCAAGACUGAAACUUAAAGGAAUU
RNAcentral lists this ribosomal RNA (521 nucleotides) under uncultured bacterium. RNAcentral's name for it is "bacterial SSU rRNA". It matches the Rfam family "Archaeal small subunit ribosomal RNA", at positions 345 to 866 of the family's 1478-position model. The record is from RNAcentral.